UUCCCGAUACUCAGGGAUAGCCUUCCGGAAAAGGGGAGAUUUAAUACCUGAUGGUGUCAAAUUCCGCAUGUUAUUUGAACUAAAGAUUCAUCGGGUAACGGAUGGGAUGCGUGACAUUAGAUAGUAGGCGGGUAACGGCCCACCUAGUCUACGAUGUCUAGGGGUUCUGAGAGGAAGGUCCCCCACACUGGAACUGAGACACGGUCCAGACUCCUACGGGAGGCAGCAGUGAGGAAUAUUGGUCAAUGGUCGGAAGACUGAACCAGCCAAGUAGCGUGAAGGAUGAAGGUUCUAUGGAUUGUAAACUUCUUUUAUACGGGAAUAAAACCUCCCACGUGUGGGAGCUUGUAUGUACCGUAUGAAUAAGCAUCGGCUAACUCCGUG
RNAcentral lists this ribosomal RNA (384 nucleotides) under uncultured bacterium. RNAcentral's name for it is "bacterial SSU rRNA". It matches the Rfam family "Bacterial small subunit ribosomal RNA", at positions 127 to 507 of the family's 1533-position model. The record is from RNAcentral.